UGGAGAAACAACUUGUUGUAGGUUACAGAUUCAGAAACUAGAUCUACAAACAUAAAUCAUAAGAAAAGAUUUGAUCCUCGAAAAAAAAGACUAAUGAGGCAAGCCUCCUAACCUCCGGUCACCGGCGACUUUGAGGGAAAGCCAAAGAAGCAUUAGCUUCUAGCCUUCCAUAUUAUUAAUAAAUAUCGGCCCUGAUUUCAUUAACAUGUCACAUUGCAUUUGUGUAGGGGGCUAGGUUCAAACUAUGGUGGCAGCCUAUUUUUUAUAUUUUUGCUUCCAGCCUUCUGAAAGUCAAGACCGGUGCUGUGAAUAAGUUAGGGUUUCCGAUUCCAAUCCUAGAUCCGCCACCAUAUGCCUUCCGAGUCACCAUCAGAGUCGUCUCCGCAGCUAAAGAUGUCGACUUCAUGACAAAGACUCAACUCCAUCCUAGGUGAACGCAAAAUAUAUUUGAGAGAGAAAGUUGAGCCGUGCGUGAAAUCUACUAGUGAUAUUCAAUGACAGAUAUUAUUUCAAUAAUAAAAAAAUAGAUAAUUUAUAUAAUAUUAGUGAAAUCUUUUUAUAUAGACAACACCAUUCAUAUAUAUUACAUGAUGUGAAUUCAAUCUUUGGGGACUAUGGGCUUCAGUCCGGAACAUCCUAUUAUUCAAAUAUAUAUAUAUAUAUGUGUGUAUAUAUAUAUAAGUAAUAGACUAUAAACAAAAUAUAAUUUAUGUAAUGCAAGUGAAAGUUUGAAUUUCUGGAUUUAUACACAUUAUACUACUCAUUCCGUUUCUUAAAGAGUGUUAUUUUAACUUUUUUUUAUUACAUAAAAAGUAUCGUUUUAGAUUUUCAAUGCAGUUUUUACUUAUUUUCAGCUAAUAUUAAUUAUAAAAUGCAUUGAUCUAAUAAAUAAAUUUAUUUAUCUUAAAUAUCAUUGGUCAAUAAUAUGUAAUUAAUAAAAACAUAAAUACAUUUCAACCAUUUUUUUAAUAUGCGUGAAAAAUAUGUAAGUGAUACUUAUAACGAAACCGAAAGAGUAUUGUAUAAAGAACUGUUACAUACACCUACCGUCAUCUUUAGUGGUACCGAAUGUCUGAAUCUAUAAUUUUAUUAUGUUGAUCGUAACUAAACAUCCAUGAAAUAAGAAAAUUGUAUGUCGAUCCUAAAUUAAAUUAACGUUAAAUACCACAAUGAUGUGUUAUUUAAAAUAUUUUUUAUUCAAGAAAAAUUGUCAGUCACAAAAGUAUUGAAAUCGGCUGAAAGAUCACUAGAUUGUCAAAAUACAUUUUUAGGUUACGAAACGAUAAUUGCUAAAAUCGUAAAAGAAACUUUAUUGCUGGUGUCGUCUAUUAGAAAUAUCUUUUAAAUUUACGAUCUAUCUAUCAUUUUUAUAUGAAAGUAAAUCAGCUAUAUUUUUUUUCAUUUUUACGCUGUCUUCUUUUACUCGUUAAGCCGAAUUUUUUCUUGGUUAUUGGGCACUGAAUAUAUCAGACUAAUUUUGUCAUUUGGUAAACUUGGAGUAGAUAACGAAAUCCACCUCCAGUAGAGCACAUCUGCAAAUCUAGCGAAUUUUUAUUGUCGUAUUCUUAUCCGAGAGUAAUAUAUAUCAAUAAUUAGGUCUGGGACAGAUUCGGAUAUCCGAGAAAUUCAACGGAUCCGGAUCUGAUUGUUUGAAUCAUACUCUUAAAACACAAAAGUGUUUAAAGAUGUACCUAGUAACUAAUGUUUUACAUUAAAACUCUUAAUCCUCACAGUAGUAUUAAUGAAAAUUUAACUAAGACAAAAAAAAAUUGCCAACGACCAAUGACAAGUAGCCUAAGAGGUUUUAUUUGUGCAGUUGGUACAUCAUUCCCAUAGUUCAAACAAAUUUAUUACUCCAUGUUAUCGGAAAAAUAGAUUUUUUUUAAUUAUAAUACAUUAAUUUUUUCAACCCAAAAAUGAGAAUCAAAACAAUAACUUCCGGUACACUGGAGUCUCUGGAGAAACAACUUGUUGUAGGUUACAGAUUCAGAAACUAGAUCUACAAACAUAAAUCAUAAGAAAAGAUUUGAUCCUCGAAAAGAAAGACUAAGGAGGCAAGCCUCCUAACCUCCGGUCACCGGCGACACCAACCAGUUCCGGUAAUUCGGAUAAGUUAGGGUUUCCAAUUUCAAUCCUAGAUCCGCCACCAUCUGCCUUCAGAGUCACCUUCAGAGUCGUCUCCGCGGUUAAAGACGUUGACUUCAUGACAAAGACUCAACUCCAUCUUAGGCGAACGCGAAAUAUAUUUAAGAGAGAAAGUUGAGCCGUGCGUGAGAUCUACUAGCGAUAUUCAAAGACAUAUAUGAUUUUAAUAAUAAAAAAUAGAUAGUUUAUAUAAUAUUAGUGAAAUCUUUUUAUAUAGACAACACCAUUACAUGAUGUGAAUUCGAACUUUGGGGACUAUGGGCUUCGGUCC
Molecule: long non-coding RNA, 2416 nt
Filed under: Brassica napus (rape)
Lineage: Eukaryota; Viridiplantae; Streptophyta; Magnoliopsida; Brassicales; Brassicaceae
Description: long non-coding RNA (BNAP_LNC020705)
Source: RNAcentral